AAAAAGUGGAGACCAGAAACCACAAUUCAAAAAACGGGGCGAAACCGAAAAGCCUGAUGAGUAGGACAGUU
Regulatory RNA element from Aquiflexum balticum DSM 16537, 71 nucleotides. It matches the Rfam family "DUF805 RNA". Lineage: Bacteria; Pseudomonadati; Bacteroidota; Cytophagia; Cytophagales; Cyclobacteriaceae. The record is from Rfam.